Molecule: transfer RNA, 66 nt
Filed under: Anopheles sp. NFL-2015
Lineage: Eukaryota; Metazoa; Arthropoda; Insecta; Diptera; Culicidae
Description: tRNA-Tyr
Rfam family: tRNA
About the family: Transfer RNA (tRNA) molecules are approximately 80 nucleotides in length. Their secondary structure includes four short double-helical elements and three loops (D, anti-codon, and T loops).
Source: RNAcentral
GAUUAAAUGGCUGAAGUUUAGGCAAUAAAUUGUAAAUUUAUUUAUGGGAUUUAAUCUCUUUAAUCA